Molecule: ribosomal RNA, 433 nt
Filed under: uncultured bacterium
Lineage: Bacteria
Description: partial 16S ribosomal RNA
Rfam family: Bacterial small subunit ribosomal RNA
Source: RNAcentral
AACGAACGCUGGCGGCAUGCCUAACACAUGCAAGUCGAACGAGACCUUCGGGUCUUUUGGCGCACGGGUGCGUAACGCGUGGGAACCUUCCCUUAUGUUCGGCAUACCUCCCCGACAGGGGUGCUAAUACCGGAUAAUGUCUUCUGACCAAAGAUUUAUCGCCUUUGGAUGGGCCCGCGUUGGAUUAGCUAGUUGGUAGGGUAAAAGCCUACCAAGGCGACGAUCCAUAACUGGUUUGAGAGGAUGAUCAGCCACACUUGGACUGAGACACGGCCCAGACUCCUACGGGAGGGAGCAGAGGGGGAUAUUGGACAAUGGGCGAAAGGCUGAUGCAGCAAUGCCGGGUGAGUGAUGAAGGCAUUAGGGUUGUAAAGCUCUUUUAACCGGGAUGAUAAUGACAGUACCGGGAGAAUAAGCUCCGGCUAACUCCGUG